GACGAACGCUGGCGGCGUGCUUAACACAUGCAAGUCGAACGGAAAGACCCUGCUUUUGUGGGGUGCUCGAGUGGCGAACGGGUGAGUAACACGUGAGUAACCUGCCCUUGACUUUGGGAUAACUUCAGGCAACUGGGGCUAAUACCGGAUAGGAGCUCCUGCUGCAUGGUGGGGGUUGGAAAGUUUCGGCGGUUGGGGAUGGACUCGCGGCUUAUCAGCUUGUUGGUGGGGUAGUGGCUUACCAAGGCUUUGACGGGUAGCCGGCCUGAGAGGGUGACCGGCCACAUUGGGACUGAGAUACGGCCCAGACUCCUACGGGAGGCAGCAGUGGGGAAUAUUGCACAAUGGGCGGAAGCCUGAUGCAGCAACGCCGCGUGCGGGAUGACGGCCUUCGGGUUGUAAACCGCUUUCGCCUGUGACGAAGCGUGAGUGACGGUAAUGGGUAAAGAAGCACCGGCUAACUACGUG
RNAcentral lists this ribosomal RNA (468 nucleotides) under uncultured bacterium. RNAcentral describes it as "partial 16S ribosomal RNA". It matches the Rfam family "Bacterial small subunit ribosomal RNA", at positions 28 to 507 of the family's 1533-position model. The record is from RNAcentral.